This 86-nucleotide transfer RNA is filed under the name Candidatus Woesearchaeota archaeon. RNAcentral's name for it is "tRNA-Leu". It matches the Rfam family "tRNA". Rfam says of the family: Transfer RNA (tRNA) molecules are approximately 80 nucleotides in length. Their secondary structure includes four short double-helical elements and three loops (D, anti-codon, and T loops). Further hydrogen bonds mediate the characteristic L-shaped molecular structure. tRNAs have two regions of fundamental functional importance: the anti-codon, which is responsible for specific mRNA codon recognition, and the 3' end, to which the tRNAs corresponding amino acid is attached (by aminoacyl-tRNA synthetases). tRNAs cope with the degeneracy of the genetic code in two manners: having more than one tRNA (with a specific anti-codon) for a particular amino acid; and 'wobble' base-pairing, i.e. permitting non-standard base-pairing at the 3rd anti-codon position. The record is from RNAcentral. Lineage: Archaea; Nanobdellati; Candidatus Woesearchaeota.
GCUGGGGUCGCAUAGUUUGGCAAUUGCGCCAGACUUAAGAUCUGGUACCCUUCGCGGGUACGUGGGUUCAAAUCCCACCCCCAGCG